This 306-nucleotide ribosomal RNA is filed under the name Triticum aestivum (bread wheat). RNAcentral describes it as "partial small subunit ribosomal RNA". Lineage: Eukaryota; Viridiplantae; Streptophyta; Magnoliopsida; Poales; Poaceae. The record is from RNAcentral.
AUGUGCAAGUUAAAUGUAUGUCCAAUAAUUACUAAUACUAAGUUUAUAAUGUUGGCACAAUCUGUUAUUGCCGUUAUCUUCUUGGGAGUACUUGAGAAGGCGUGGCUGGGAAUGUGGGGACACGCCAUGGCAGAGGCGCAUGGUCGGCAGGAGGAGUCAGGGAGGCCUGAAGGUGGACAUGUGGAUGUUAUCGUGGCAUUGACACAUUUCGCUCCACCGAUACCAGGGGGUGGUGGUGCAGGAUUCGUUGGAAGCCACACGGCGCACCCGAGGAGAGGAGGAGAAUGCUCUGAAGAGAGGAAAUGA